GGCGGCCGGCGGCGAGGGUUUAGUCCGUGACGAAGCACACUACGAGGAGGAAAGCCACUCUCACACACAGAGAAGCCACGCGAAUCCGAGAGGGGAAGGAAGGAGGCGGACCGAGAUGCUUCUGGAGGAGCUGCUCCGCUGCCAGAUCCAGGAGUGGUACCCGGCCUUCCGCCGCUACACCAUCCCCACCGUCAUCAUCCCGCUCCCCGCCGCCUUCCUCCGCUACCUCGCCGGCCAACCGGCCUACCCCGAUGCCGACGCCGACGCCGAUGAGGGGCCGCUCCCGUUCCUCCUCCCCGCAGUAACCUCCGGCCGCCAGCCCUUCGCGCCCAUCCACGCUCACCUCCCCGAUCCCGUCUCCCUCCUCGACCGCCUCAACUCCGACCUCUUCUUCGGCUCCGGCGACGACGACGUCUACGACCCCGACGCUGACCACCCGCUCAGGCCGGCCUUCCCGGAGCUGGAGGCGGCUGUCGACGUCGCCAUCGCCGAGCUCGGAGGCGCCGCGCUUCCCAAGCUCAACUGGAGCGCGCCCAAAGACGCCACCUUCAUGUCUGCGGACGGCACCAUCCGCUGCAACUGCUUCGCCGAGGUCGCCAUGCUGCUCCGCGCAUCCGACUGCGUCGCCCACGACCUUGUCUCCUCGCGGCCCUCUUGCGAGGACUUCGUGCGCUCUGGGGGUGCUCGACGGAAUGCCAGAGAGCUCAGUGCUGGUUCCGAGGAAGAUGCUCGACCAAACGAGGGCAUUGGCAACGAAGGCGUACAACCAAAUGACCGGGAGAGUGGCAUUGAUGCUGUGAGUGAUUCCAGGGAGACUGGUGACGAGGGAGGCAAGCGGAAUGCUGCAGACUGUGAUGUCGAAGAUGCACCAGAAGAAGAAAGUAAUGGGGAGACUUGGGUGGAUGAUGGGUUCCAAUACUACCUUGCUCUCCGCAAGUGGUAUCCAGGCCUCAGACCUGAGUCAGAGUUCCGAUGCUUUGUCCGAGGGCGGAAGCUGGUUGCUGUGUCCCAGAGAGAUGCAUCAGCUUACUACCCAUCACUUCCUGGAUGGAGUUCUGAGGUGCAACCGAAGAUUGAGGCUUUCUUUGAGGAAGUGGUUGAGCCACAAUUUGCUUCAGACAAUUAUACAUUUGAUGUGUAUGUGAGAGCGGAUGGGUGUGUGAAGCUGAUAGAUUUCAAUCCAUGGGGUGGCUAUACCUUGCCGCUGCUGUUUACAUGGGAGGAGAUUGAGGAGGACGGGAGAGGGCAGGAGCUGGAGUUCAGAGUGGUGAUGCAGCAGGGUGCAGUGAGACCAGGAUUAAUGACAGCAGUGCCGUAUGAUAUGCUGGAUUGGGGGGAGGGGAGUGGCUGGGAUGUUUUCCUGAAGAAGGCUGAUGAGGAGCUCGACAGACAGAUGAACUCAAUAGGUGAUGGUUCAUAAUUACAUUUCAGUCAAAGGUGUUUGAAGAAUCCAAAUACAGCAGCUCAGCCUAUGGAUCAGCACUCAAAAGGCUACCCUAUUUACUUGUUGGAUUUGUUCAGGCAUCUUUUUGCUAGUACAAACAGUAGAAGCUGCACAGAAUAGCAUGAUCAUUACAUUUCACUACUAUGGUUACAUCAUAUUGUUAUCUGAAAGUAAACUAUUGCAAGACUGGUUUGCUCGAUGAUCAACAUUGGUUCGAGGUGACUUGGCAUGUGAUUCUCAUCAAUGACAUUCAUUUAUUACCAUACUUGCUUAAGGUAUUCCAUAAUACUAUAAGAAUCUGGAAGUUGGUGUUUUAGGAUAUGAUGAGCUGUAUCCUGCAGUUGGUGGCAGAUCAGCAGAUGAAAGCAAUUGAGUGCCUUGAUCAGCAUUUAAGUUGUGUGACAAGGAACUUCAACCCGAGGGGAUAACAGCAAAGGUAGCGGAUUCAGAGGCUUGGUUUCAUGAUUCCACGAAGUAACACACACCUUCUCUAACCUGGUUCGCAUACGAUGUCCUGAGUAUCAGGUCACUUACCUGCCGCACAUCAUCACGCAUUCAUGCGAAAUUGCGAAUGCUUGCGUUGCCCUGAAGUACUGGAUAGCUAGUGAGGACUGAGAGGCAGUGACACGGUGAUCUUCCCUGUUAGUAAUGCCUGUCCAGUUGCCACCUCGAUGCUAUUGCUGCACCAGCCAGCCAUCUGAUCCUCAUCAGGUGAAACCACAGGAUGGUGGGUGGUUGCGCGUGCUGAGUCAGCAGAAAGCACUCGUAUCGUCACACAUAGUUGUACAGCCAAUAUACUAGCGAACUAAAACUCGAUCACGGCACAAAACCACACUUACAAUUAAUGAUAUCCAUGUUGAUCCGAUUUGUUGAUGAGCAGUUAUCCCUAAUCCAUCUGAUCAACAUGGAAUAGUACAGGCAUGCACUAGCUGUUGUUUACUACAACCAGUCAAGUAGCUCCAGGUCCAGUCUUCGGAGAUGUCUUAAUGUAUAGUGAUACAUGUUACUUCUGAAUUCUGAUACUUGUUUUUCUAUUGCGAGAUGAAUGGAGACGGCAAGAGGUAAGGUGGGGUGCCUACGUGGUGUACUGACUGCGUCGCACGUCCGUUUGUCUUCUCUCAGAGAUUUCAGUUUCAGGUUCAUCACGGUUGGGGCUGAAAUAUAGUUUAAGCGGUCUCGCAGCAAGUGUGACACUGCGCUGGACACAGUUUUUCGGUCAGCGUUGGGCGCUGCUAGCGAGGCCAUGUGGAGCUUUGAAAGGCCACUACUGCAAGCUUUGGUUAAUUUGCACUGUGGUACAUAGCUUCCCAAUGUAACGUGGGGGCACGUCGAAGCUGGAGCAGAUGCCGAUGCUGUUCUGCCUUGUUAAGCUGCACAUGAAGGUUAUCUUCAGCUGAUGGGGAGCGCUGAGUGUGGAAGAAGCUGUAGAAAGUUCAGGUACAUGUCAGGGUAAAGGUUUUUCUUAGAAGAUCGUCAACAAUGGACUGUUAACCCAUGCCAACAAAUGGUAUAGGCAUCUUGAACAAUUCAGCACCUCCGAGUUGUGCGGUGGCUGGAUGGAGGAUAGUUUUCAUACUGUUAUCAGAUGCCUGCAUGCUGUUGCGCUUCAAUAGGCUAUGAGUAAUCAUUGGCUCUGGCCGGUAGAGGCUGAUAUUAUACUACUGGGCUGUGAUUGGGCCAAAAAUUUAAAAUUAGAUAAUAUA
This is an RNA transcript of Phragmites australis (common reed), 3147 nucleotides long. RefSeq lists it as uncharacterized. The record is from RefSeq and is a predicted model, not a curated record. NCBI's taxonomy places the organism in Eukaryota, Viridiplantae, Streptophyta, Magnoliopsida, Poales, Poaceae. The transcript has 3 exons.